RNAcentral lists this ribosomal RNA (466 nucleotides) under uncultured bacterium. RNAcentral describes it as "partial 16S ribosomal RNA". It matches the Rfam family "Bacterial small subunit ribosomal RNA", at positions 28 to 507 of the family's 1533-position model. The record is from RNAcentral.
GAUGAACGCUGGCGGCGUGCUUAACACAUGCCAGUCGAACGGAAAGGCUCCUGCUUGCAGGGGUACUCGAGUGGCGAACGGGUGAGUAACACGUGGGUGAUCUGCCCUGCACUUCGGGAUAAGCCUGGGAAACUGGGUCUAAUACCGGAUAGGACGAUGGUUUGGAUGCCAUUGUGGAAAGGUUUUUCGGUGUGGGAUGAGCUCGCGGCCUAUCAGCUUGUUGGUGGGGUAAUGGCCUACCAAGGCGUCGACGGGUAGCCGGCCUGGGAGGGGGUACGGCCACAUUGGUACUGAGGUACGGCCCAGAAUCCUACGGGCGGCAGCAGUGGGGAGCAUUGCACAAUGGGCGCGAGCCUGAUGCAGCGACGCCGCGUGGGGGAUGACGUCCUUCGGGUUGUAAACACCUUUCUCUAGGGACGAAGCGCAAGUGACGGUACCUGGAGAAGAAGCACCGGCUAACUACGUG